CCUACGGGUGGCUGCAGUGGGGAAUUUUGGACAAUGGGGGCAACCCUGAUCCAGCCAUUCCGCGUGAGUGAAGAAGGCCUUCGGGUUGUAAAGCUCCUUUGUCCGGAGCGAAACGGGCGGCCCUAAUACGGUCGUCUACUGACGGUACCGGAAGAAUAAGCACCGGCUAACUACGUGCCAGCAGCCGCGGUAAUACGUAGGGUGAUUGCGUUAAGCGGAAUUACCGGGCGUGAAGCGUGCGCAGGCGGUUGAAAUCCCCGGGCUCAACCUGGGAAUGGCAUUUGGGACUGCAAGGCUGGAGUGUGGCAGAGGGGACUAGAAUUCCUGGUGUAGCAGUGAAAUGCGUAGAUAUCAGGAGGAAUACCGAUGGCGAAGGCAGGUCCCUGGUUUAACACUGACGCUCAUGCACGAAAGCGUGGGGAGCAAACAGGAUUAGAUACCCUGGUAGUC
Molecule: ribosomal RNA, 450 nt
Filed under: uncultured bacterium
Lineage: Bacteria
Description: partial 16S ribosomal RNA
Rfam family: Bacterial small subunit ribosomal RNA
Source: RNAcentral